AUCCCCGUAACUCAAUGGAUCAGAGUGCGUGAUUACGAAUCACGAAGUUGAAGGAUGAGGGUGGACACAAGACAGUCCCUGCGGACUGUUUUGUGCCUGCCGAAUCCGAGCGCCUUGCAGGGCGCGAGGUGGAAGAGUCCUUCCGGGGGUGCCA
RNAcentral lists this transfer RNA (154 nucleotides) under Betaproteobacteria bacterium. Its description in RNAcentral is "tRNA-Arg". The record is from RNAcentral. Lineage: Bacteria; Pseudomonadati; Pseudomonadota; Betaproteobacteria.